AUCCAGCUGAUGAGUCCCAAAUAGGACGAGGCGGGAGUCCUGGAC
RNAcentral lists this non-coding RNA (45 nucleotides) under Schistosoma haematobium. Lineage: Eukaryota; Metazoa; Platyhelminthes; Trematoda; Strigeidida; Schistosomatidae. The record is from RNAcentral.